GAUAGAUUGAUGUUUAUGUUCUGUUGCCAAAUUCACUCGUAUUGCAUCUCAGAGAUACAGUCACUUUUUUCUUUUCUUUUUUCUCUUUCACAUACUCUUUGUGUCUUAAUGAAUAUGCUCACACCAUACCACUUGCCUUUAAUCAUGUUUUAUUUUAUAAAAUUUUUGGCACUGGAUCUCAAUAUCAGGGAGCCAUCAUUUUGUU
This is a non-coding RNA of Pelobates cultripes (western spadefoot toad), 205 nucleotides long. The record is from the annotation of a GenBank genome assembly. NCBI's taxonomy places the organism in Eukaryota, Metazoa, Chordata, Amphibia, Anura, Pelobatidae.